Molecule: long non-coding RNA, 514 nt
Filed under: Androctonus crassicauda
Lineage: Eukaryota; Metazoa; Arthropoda; Arachnida; Scorpiones; Buthidae
Source: RNAcentral
UAUAAAUGGAAGUUGCAUUCUUUAACCCAUCAGAACUCAAAAUAUUCAAUAUGUUUUUAAAAAGUAUUUGAGUAUAGUUAUGUUCUGAUUAAAUGCUUUUUAUUCUUCAUGAGGAAAAUGGGUAUGUUGUAUUUUUCAGUAUGUUUUGUAAGUAAAAAUAAAGAAAAUCACCAUGUAAAAACAAAGAUAGUGUGUAAAUUAUAUUUGUGUGCCCAGGUUUCUAGUAUCAGAAGGAUGGCCACAUUGAUAAAGCAGUCAUUUAUCAUCUUGAGUGAGUUCAAUUCCAGGGCCCCACAUACCCAUUUUUUCAGGAGGAGGUCUAGCCAUUGAACCAUCAUUCUUUAAUGUUCCAAUUGAUCCCACCUUGGGUGUUGGCCAGGCUGUGGUGGAUUUUAUAAGUGACUGCUGCCAAAGUAUCCCUUGUGAUUUGGCAGCUUAAUUCAAACUAACCUAAUCAAGUUUCUAGCAAAAAUCUGUAAUAAUUUUUAAUGCCACUUCCCAAUCAUUGGCUGAU